GGCCCCCUAGCUCAGUUGGUUAGAGCGCUUGGAUCACACCCAAGAGGUCGCCCGUUCGAGUCGGGCGGGGGCCA
RNAcentral lists this transfer RNA (74 nucleotides) under Planctomycetaceae bacterium. RNAcentral describes it as "tRNA-Val". It matches the Rfam family "tRNA". Rfam says of the family: Transfer RNA (tRNA) molecules are approximately 80 nucleotides in length. Their secondary structure includes four short double-helical elements and three loops (D, anti-codon, and T loops). The record is from RNAcentral. Lineage: Bacteria; Pseudomonadati; Planctomycetota; Planctomycetia; Planctomycetales; Planctomycetaceae.